Molecule: ribosomal RNA, 996 nt
Filed under: Rosellinia necatrix
Lineage: Eukaryota; Fungi; Ascomycota; Sordariomycetes; Xylariales; Xylariaceae
Description: partial large subunit ribosomal RNA
Rfam family: Eukaryotic large subunit ribosomal RNA
Source: RNAcentral
CCCAUGCGGAGUAGACCAACAGGGAUUGCCUCAGUAACGGCGAGUGAAGCGGCAACAGCUCAAAUUUGAAAUCUGGCCCUCGGGUCCGAGUUGUAAUUUGUAGAGGAUGCUUUUGGCGCGGUGCCUUCCGAGUUCCCUGGAACGGGACGCCUUAGAGGGUGAGAGCCCCGUACGGUUGGACACCAAGCCUCUGUAAAGCUCCUUCGACGAGUCGAGUAGUUUGGGAAUGCUGCUCUAAAUGGGAGGUAAAUUUCUUCUAAAGCUAAAUAUUGGCCAGAGACCGAUAGCGCACAAGUAGAGUGAUCGAAAGAUGAAAAGCACUUUGAAAAGAGGGUUAAAUAGCACGUGAAAUUGUUGAAAGGGAAGCGUUUGCGACCAGACCUUUUCCUGGCGGAUCAUCCGGUGUUCUCACCGGUGCACUUCGCCAGGUCGAGGCCAGCAUCGGUUUCCGCGGGGGGAUAAAAGCUCUGGGAACGUAGCUCCUCCGGGAGUGUUAUAGCCCUCUGCACAAUACCCCCGCGGGGACCGAGGACCGCGCUCUAAGCAAGGAUGCUGGCGUAAUGGUUGUCAACGACCCGUCUUGAAACACGGACCAAGGAGUCGAACAUUUGUGCGAGUGUUUGGGUGUCAAACCCUCACGCGUAAUGAAGGUGAACGUAGGUGAGAGCCCUUACGGGUGCAUCAUCGACCGAUCCUGAUGUCUUCGGAUGGAUUUGAGUAAGAGCAUAACUGUUCGGACCCGAAAGAUGGUGAACUAUGCGUGGAUAGGGUGAAGCCAGAGGAAACUCUGGUGGAGGCUCGCAGCGGUUCUGACGUGCAAAUCGAUCGUCAAAUCUGCGCAUGGGGGCGAAAGACUUAUCGAACCAUCUAGUAGCUGGUUACCGCCGAAGUUUCCCUCAGAUAGCAGUGUUGUUCUUCAGUUUUAUGAGGUAAAGCGAAUGAUUAGGGACUCGGGGGCGCUUUUUUGCCUUCAUCCAUUCUCAAACUUUAAAUAUG